UGGGAAAAUCUUUCCUCUCUGCUUAAAGGAAAGUUCUUUUUAGCUCUUUUUCUCUUGUUCAAGGUGUUAGUAUUAGUCAAUAGGGUCUAAAUCUGUGGCAGCAAUCUUGCAGGCAUGAGGUGAAAAGUAGAAAGAUGAAAAACUAGCAUGUUAAAGAUGCCAGGUCAGAAAAAUGGAAAGAACCUGCUUCCGUGAGCCACUGAAUGGGUGCCAAUAACCAUACGCAUUUGAGCAUUUUCAGAAAAUAAACGUCUGUUUCUUAAAGUUCUGUAUCAGUCAGGGUUUCCCAGAGAGGCAGAACAAUAGGGAUCAAGAGAUACACAGAGAGAGAUGAGAGAGGGACGGAGAGAGACACACAGAGAGAUAUGAAAGGCGGUUAAGGGAGUUGGCUCAUGUGAUUGCGGAGGCUGAGAAAUCCCACCACAGGCCAUUCGUAACCUGGAGACCUUGGGAUGCUGGUGGUCUGGCUCAGUAUAAUUCCAAAAGCCUUGGAACCAGGGAAACUGAUGGUGUAAUUGAUGGUGUAAUUCUCAGUCCGAGGCUGAAUUCUCAAGCCUGAGAACCUGGGCGUGGGGUGGGGGAGUGAUAGUUUAAGUCCUGGAGUCCCAAGGUUAGAGAGUCUGGGGUCCUAAUGUCCAAGGGCAGUUGGAGAAGAGUGUAUCCCUGCUGCAGGGGGGAGAGAAGCCAAUUUUCCUUUCUUCUGUUUUUAUCCUACCCAGGCCUCCAGUGGAUUGGAGGUGCCUGCCCAUAUUGACGGCAGAUCUUCUCUGCCUAGUCCACUCUAACUCACAUGCCAGUCGCCUCUGAAAACACCUUCACAGACACACCCCAAAACAAUGCCUUACCAGUUCUCUAGAUAUUCCUUAAUCCAGUCAAGUUGACACCUAAAAUUAAUCAUCACAGCCUUUAUGGCUUUAUUAGCCAAGAAUUCUGUUACUUUCAGCUGAAAACAUUUCUAAUAGACAUAUUCCAAUUCUGUAUAGAUCAGACCUGAGUUUCAUUUCCCAUUAUAUCCUUCUCUCUCUUGAUUUAGAAUUCUCUUUUUCUCCACUCCGCUAUUUUCUGUAUUCAGUAUUCUAAAAUACUGUCAAUCUCAUCUUUGAAGGUUUUGCUCAUCUUUAAAACUUCUUAGUUGAUUAUGUUUUAUGUGUUGUUUAAUUAAGGAAUGAAUUUACUUAUUUUUAUUUCAGUAGCUUUUGGGGUACAGGUGGGUUUUGGUUGCAUGGAUGAAUUGUAUAGUGGUGAAGUCUGAGAUUUGAGUGCACCUGUCACCAGAAUAGUGUGCACUGUACCCAAUAUAUAGUUUUUAUUCCUCCCCCUUCUGAGUCUCCAUGGUCCAUUAUAUCACUCUGUAUACCCUUGUGUAUCUACAGCUUAGCUUUCACUUACAAUUGAGAACAUGCAGUAUUUGGUUAUCCAUUCCUGAGUUACUUUACUUAGAAUAAUGGCCUCCAGCUCCAUUCAAGAUGCUGCAAAAGACAUUAUUUCAUCUUUUCUUUUUUAUGGCUGAGUAGUAUUCCAUGGUGCAUAUAUACCACAUUUUCUUUAUCCACUUAUUGGUCAGUGGGCACUUUGGUUGAUUCCAUAUCUUUGCAAUUGUGAACUGUGUUACGAUAAAAAUAUGCGUAUGAGUGUCUUUUUUGGUAGAUCUCCUUUUAGUUCUUUAAGACACCUCCAUACUGUUGUCUAUAGAGGUUGCACUAAUUUACAUUCCCACCAGCAGUGUAUAAGUGAGACAGGGUCUCUGUCACCCAGGUUGGAGUGCAGUGGCAUGAUCAUGGCUCACUGCAACCUUGACGUCCCAGGCUUAAGUAAUCCUUCCACCUAAGCUUCCCUAGUAGCUGGGACUACAGGCACAUGCCACCAUGUCUGACUAAUUUUUGUUUUUGUUUUUUGUAGAGACAGGAGGCUCACUGUGUUGCCUAGGCUGGUCUUGAACUGUUGGGAUCAAGCAGUCCUCCAUCCAAAGCCUCCCAAAGUGCUCCAAUUAUAGGCAUAAGCCACUGUGCCUGGCGUAAUAAGUGUCAUUUUUAAAACAUCAGUUUAUUAACUACAUAGAAAUAAAUCUAAAAAGAUUCUGCCAAAAAAAAAAAAAAACAAAAA
This is a long non-coding RNA of Macaca fascicularis (crab-eating macaque), 2103 nucleotides long. NCBI's taxonomy places the organism in Eukaryota, Metazoa, Chordata, Mammalia, Primates, Cercopithecidae. The record is from Ensembl.